This 347-nucleotide long non-coding RNA is filed under the name Rattus norvegicus (Norway rat). RNAcentral's name for it is "long non-coding RNA NONRATT020609". Lineage: Eukaryota; Metazoa; Chordata; Mammalia; Rodentia; Muridae. The record is from RNAcentral.
GUCACAGCCUAUUUCAUCGGUCUCUAGUCUGCAGCUGGGACCAAGGGUUCUGCCAGGCCUUGGGAUCAGCCGUGGGUGGUCAGAGCAGCCCCGCUUCACCAUCCACUGCUGAGCUGUUGCAGCGGCUUUUCCCUCCCCUCUUGGAUAUCCUUCGCCAGCCUAGGCCAGAACUUAGCCUGUGCCAGCCUGCAGGUCCUACGCCUGUCGCUCUGGGACUCUGUACCCUGCAGACCACCUUGCUCUGGUUCUUGGGCAAAGCUCAGCAGCACCUGGCAGCAUGGGCGCCUGGUCCCUUCCUACUCCUGAUCCAGAAGGACUUGCCUCCUCUUCUGCAUGCAGUGGAAGCG